Molecule: ribosomal RNA, 328 nt
Filed under: uncultured bacterium
Lineage: Bacteria
Description: bacterial SSU rRNA
Rfam family: Bacterial small subunit ribosomal RNA
Source: RNAcentral
AAUCAACGCUGGCGGCGUGCCUCAGACAUGCAAGUCGAACGCGAAAGUUUCCUUCGGGGAACAAGUAGAGUGGCGCACGGGUGAGUAACACGUAGGUAAUCUACCUUUGGAUGGGGAAUAACAACCGGAAACGGUUGCUAAUACCGCAUAAUGCAGCGGCACCUAAUGGUGACAGUUGUUAAAGCGGGGGAUCGAAAGACCUCGCGUCUGAAGAGGAGCCUGCGGCGGAUUAGCUAGUUGGUAAGGUAAUGGCUUACCAAGGCGACGAUCCGUAACCGGCCCGAGAGGGCGGUCGGUCACACUGACACUGACAUACGGGUCAGACUCC